This 504-nucleotide ribosomal RNA is filed under the name uncultured bacterium. RNAcentral describes it as "partial 16S ribosomal RNA". It matches the Rfam family "Bacterial small subunit ribosomal RNA", at positions 28 to 523 of the family's 1533-position model. The record is from RNAcentral.
GAUGAACGCUGGCGGCAUGCCUUACACAUGCAAGUCGAACGGCAGCAUGGAGAGCUUGCUCUCUGAUGGCGAGUGGCGAACGGGUGAGUGAUGCAUCGGAACGUACCGUGUAAUGGGGGAUAACGUAGCGAAAGUUACGCUAAUACCGCAUACGACCUGAGGAUGAAAGCAGGGGAUCGCAAGACCUUGCGUUAUACGAGCGGCCGAUGUCAGAUUAGCUAGUUGGUGAGGUAAAGGCUCACCAAGGCGACGAUCUGCAGCGGGUCUGAGAGGAUGAUCCGCCACACUGGGACUGAGACACGGCCCAGACUCCUACGGGAGGCAGCAGUGGGGAAUUUUGGACAAUGGGGGCAACCCUGAUCCAGCCAUGCCGCGUGAGUGAAGAAGGCCUUCGGGUUGUAAAGCUCUUUCGGCCGGGAAGAAAUCGCACAGGCUAAUACUCUGUGUGGAUGACGGUACCGGCAUAAGAAGCACCGGCUAACUACGUGCCAGCCGCCGCGGUAA